RNAcentral lists this ribosomal RNA (2903 nucleotides) under Klebsiella variicola. Its description in RNAcentral is "bacterial LSU rRNA". It matches the Rfam family "Bacterial large subunit ribosomal RNA". Lineage: Bacteria; Pseudomonadati; Pseudomonadota; Gammaproteobacteria; Enterobacterales; Enterobacteriaceae. The record is from RNAcentral.
UUAAGCGACUAAGCGUACACGGUGGAUGCCCUGGCAGUCAGAGGCGAUGAAGGACGUGCUAAUCUGCGAAAAGCGUCGGUAAGGUGAUAUGAACCGUUAUAACCGGCGAUGUCCGAAUGGGGAAACCCAGUGUGAUUCGUCACACUAUCGUUAACUGAAUACAUAGGUUAACGAGGCGAACCGGGGGAACUGAAACAUCUAAGUACCCCGAGGAAAAGAAAUCAACCGAGAUUCCCCCAGUAGCGGCGAGCGAACGGGGAGCAGCCCAGAGUCUGAAUCAGCUUGUGUGUUAGUGGAACGGUCUGGAAAGUCCGACGGUACAGGGUGAUAGUCCCGUACACCAAAAUGCACAGGUUGUGAACUCGAAGAGUAGGGCGGGACACGUGGUAUCCUGUCUGAAUAUGGGGGGACCAUCCUCCAAGGCUAAAUACUCCUGACUGACCGAUAGUGAACCAGUACCGUGAGGGAAAGGCGAAAAGAACCCCGGCGAGGGGAGUGAAAAAGAACCUGAAACCGUGUACGUACAAGCAGUGGGAGCACCUUCGGGUGUGACUGCGUACCUUUUGUAUAAUGGGUCAGCGACUUAUAUUCUGUAGCAAGGUUAACCGUAUAGGGGAGCCGCAGGGAAACCGAGUCUUAACUGGGCGUUAAGUUGCAGGGUAUAGACCCGAAACCCGGUGAUCUAGCCAUGGGCAGGUUGAAGGUUGGGUAACACUAACUGGAGGACCGAACCGACUAAUGUUGAAAAAUUAGCGGAUGACUUGUGGCUGGGGGUGAAAGGCCAAUCAAACCGGGAGAUAGCUGGUUCUCCCCGAAAGCUAUUUAGGUAGCGCCUCGUGAACUCAUCUUCGGGGGUAGAGCACUGUUUCGGCUAGGGGGUCAUCCCGACUUACCAACCCGAUGCAAACUACGAAUACCGAAGAAUGUUAUCACGGGAGACACACGGCGGGUGCUAACGUCCGUCGUGAAGAGGGAAACAACCCAGACCGCCAGCUAAGGUCCCAAAGUCAUGGUUAAGUGGGAAACGAUGUGGGAAGGCACAGACAGCCAGGAUGUUGGCUUAGAAGCAGCCAUCAUUUAAAGAAAGCGUAAUAGCUCACUGGUCGAGUCGGCCUGCGCGGAAGAUGUAACGGGGCUAAACCAUGCACCGAAGCUGCGGCAGCGACGCUUAUGCGUUGUUGGGUAGGGGAGCGUUCUGUAAGCCUGCGAAGGUGGCCUGUGAGGGUUGCUGGAGGUAUCAGAAGUGCGAAUGCUGACAUAAGUAACGAUAAAGCGGGUGAAAAGCCCGCUCGCCGGAAGACCAAGGGUUCCUGUCCAACGUUAAUCGGGGCAGGGUGAGUCGACCCCUAAGGCGAGGCCGAAAGGCGUAGUCGAUGGGAAACAGGUUAAUAUUCCUGUACUUGGUGUUACUGCGAAGGGGGGACGGAGAAGGCUAUGUUAGCCGGGCGACGGUUGUCCCGGUUUAAGCAUGUAGGCGGAGGUUCCAGGUAAAUCCGGUACCUUUUAACGCUGAGGUGUGAUGACGAGGCACUACGGUGCUGAAGUAACAAAUGCCCUGCUUCCAGGAAAAGCCUCUAAGCAUCAGGUAACAUUAAAUCGUACCCCAAACCGACACAGGUGGUCAGGUAGAGAAUACCAAGGCGCUUGAGAGAACUCGGGUGAAGGAACUAGGCAAAAUGGUGCCGUAACUUCGGGAGAAGGCACGCUGGUGUGUAGGUGAAGUCCCUGCGGAUGGAGCUGAGACCAGUCGAAGAUACCAGCUGGCUGCAACUGUUUAUUAAAAACACAGCACUGUGCAAACACGAAAGUGGACGUAUACGGUGUGACGCCUGCCCGGUGCCGGAAGGUUAAUUGAUGGGGUUAUCCGUAAGGAGAAGCUCUUGAUCGAAGCCCCGGUAAACGGCGGCCGUAACUAUAACGGUCCUAAGGUAGCGAAAUUCCUUGUCGGGUAAGUUCCGACCUGCACGAAUGGCGUAAUGAUGGCCAGGCUGUCUCCACCCGAGACUCAGUGAAAUUGAACUCGCUGUGAAGAUGCAGUGUACCCGCGGCAAGACGGAAAGACCCCGUGAACCUUUACUAUAGCUUGACACUGAACAUUGAGCCUUGAUGUGUAGGAUAGGUGGGAGGCUUUGAAGCGUGGACGCCAGUCUGCGUGGAGCCAACCUUGAAAUACCACCCUUUAAUGUUUGAUGUUCUAACGUUGGCCCGUAAUCCGGGUUGCGGACAGUGUCUGGUGGGUAGUUUGACUGGGGCGGUCUCCUCCCAAAGAGUAACGGAGGAGCACGAAGGUUAGCUAAUCCUGGUCGGACAUCAGGAGGUUAGUGCAAUGGCAUAAGCUAGCUUGACUGCGAGCGUGACGGCGCGAGCAGGUGCGAAAGCAGGUCAUAGUGAUCCGGUGGUUCUGAAUGGAAGGGCCAUCGCUCAACGGAUAAAAGGUACUCCGGGGAUAACAGGCUGAUACCGCCCAAGAGUUCAUAUCGACGGCGGUGUUUGGCACCUCGAUGUCGGCUCAUCACAUCCUGGGGCUGAAGUAGGUCCCAAGGGUAUGGCUGUUCGCCAUUUAAAGUGGUACGCGAGCUGGGUUUAGAACGUCGUGAGACAGUUCGGUCCCUAUCUGCCGUGGGCGCUGGAGAAUUGAGGGGGGCUGCUCCUAGUACGAGAGGACCGGAGUGGACGCAUCACUGGUGUUCGGGUUGUCAUGCCAAUGGCACUGCCCGGUAGCUAAAUGCGGAAGAGAUAAGUGCUGAAAGCAUCUAAGCACGAAACUUGCCCCGAGAUGAGUUCUCCCUGAGACUUUAAGUCUCCUGAAGGAACGUUGAAGACGACGACGUUGAUAGGCCGGGUGUGUAAGCGCAGCGAUGCGUUGAGCUAACCGGUACUAAUGAACCGUGAGGCUUAACCUU